Molecule: long non-coding RNA, 2901 nt
Organism: Pyrgilauda ruficollis (rufous-necked snowfinch)
Lineage: Eukaryota; Metazoa; Chordata; Aves; Passeriformes; Passeridae
Exons: 5
Source: RefSeq, a predicted model, not a curated record
UGCAGCGCACUAACAAGUGGUGCUCUCAAGGAUUGCGGAAAUUGCGGAGAGAUGGCAAGAGAGAUGGGUGGAUAUGUGAGUGAUACGGAUUCUGACACCUUAUCAUUUUUGUUAGUGGAACUGAUUUUAGCUGCAUGAAACAAUGGGAGUUUCACUCAGUAAGGGCAUCUGGAUGGCACAAAUCUUCUGGAGGCGUGAAUGGAAUAGUAGAUCCUGUUAGACCUUGACUAAUGUCAGCAACCAGAACGGCGGCUUGAGUCGAGGAGCAGAGGAGGAAGAUUUACUGUGCUGUGGAUGUGUCCAAGGAAAGCUGGCAGCACUGAACACAGGGAAGCAAUGGGGAAUGGCAAAGGCUGUUGAGAAGUUUGGUUUAAACCAUGGUGAGCCGAGCUGUUCUGCAAGUAGUGAGCUGUAGCCAUUCCCUGCAUGGAGAAAGUUGAGUGCUGUAGCCAUUCCCUGCAUGGAGAAAGUUUGGAUAGAUGUUUUACCUGACACACAGCCUUUCCUCUGCUGGAGUUCUGGCCUAUAUGGAGUAAAAGUAAAUGUAUGAGUUGCUGCACCUCACAUGCUCAUCAGUGCCUACAGCUCUGUGUCUUCUUCAGUCUCCUCCGCCCCUCUCCUUCCCCACCCUCAAAGCUCUCAGCAUGACGUGACACCAGGAAUCCUUUGGCAAAAUGCUACCACACCACAACCAGAACUUUUAGGUUCCUGUCCAGCUCACACAGUGUCCAUCCUCUGUGUAAACCAUUUGGUACAAGCUCUGUCCACCACGGCACAAUUAGUGCUGGCAAAGUUCUCUCGCGGGUCUCUGAGCCUACGUUGGGAUCCCGUUGCUCUUGCUUAGCUGGGAUCACACACGUGGAUUGUGCUGACGAAGGGUGCUGGGCUGAGAGGGGCCUGAUAAGGCAGUGUGACCCUGACAUACGUUGUCAGCAGCACUGCCAUCGCCAGCGAGAGCAGGGGGAGGACUGAAAUUCUCCCGUUCAAUUGGGCGAAUUUGAUACCUUCUCGUUCUUGUGUCCUCGUGGCUCGGCCACUUGACAUUUCUAAACAUUCUCAAGCAAGUUCACUGGAAAACUAUCCCAUGUCAGGAGCUGGUGAUGUCAAGGCUAAUAACAGUCCUGGGGUCAAAUCCUUCUGAUCCUUCAGGCAAGGACCUCAAGAUUUGGCUCCAAGUCAACAACAAGACCUUCCUUGUGAACUGAAAACUCUGGUGCUCCCCAGCUGACACAUAUACCACCAGACUCAUCUAUGUUUUUCAGAUGGACUCCAGCUCUGCACACUCAUCCAAGGCAAUGCACACAGAAUAAGCACAAGGCAAUGAGCACUGCAGAUAUACCCAAUUUCCUAAAGCCACCAUCUGCUGUAAACCUGCCCUGCAGCAUAGUCACCACCCUGGAAGGAGAAACACAAAAGAACUUGAAGCUCUUGGAGUGAAACAGUGCAAAGCACCUGCAUGAGGUGCCAGUGGUCACCUGUGAAACAGCUCCCUUGGAGUCACCACGUGUUGUCAUCACCAGACAGUGACAUCUCCCAUCUUUGGAGCAGGCUUGGCUGUGGAUCCAGAAGAGGGCAAUGGUGACACAUCCUCACGGAGGCUCCGAGCACCAAAUCCACUGAGGGCAGCCACGGCAGGAAUGGAGCCAACAGCCAGACCACCUUGGCUAGUGGAUCUGCCUGUUCCUGGCUGUUUCAUGGCAAGCAGAUUGAAGUGGGAGGCAGCUUUCAGCUACUGUCUCAGAAGCAGAAUAAAAAGCUGAUUUCUCUGCUGGGGGACUUUGGCGCACAAGUGCAAGACGAGGACAACAGGCAGGUGCAAGUCUGCUGAGAAGGAAUGCAACAGGGCAGAGCUGACAGGCAAACAGACCCUGGGCAUUGCUGCUGCCAGCUUUUCCAUCGGCAUCUCACCAGGGAUGAGAACAAAUCUCUCUGUGGGCGGGCGCAGGAAGCGGCCCCCGAGCGCGAGGGAGAGGCACGGGACAAGGGCGGCUUGGGAAUCCUGGUGGGAGAUCUUCCCAGCAAACCUGGGCCACGGGAGACGCCGUGAUGUGCCCGAAGGAGGCACAAACAGCCCCCUCCUCCUUGGCACAGGACUCAGCUGUGGCAAAUCUGAUCUUUUUGUUCGCUCGAGGCUUUUGUUUGUUCACUAAAUGCCCCCGGACUUUGCUUUUCAAGUCUCUUCCUUCUCUGUCGUUGUCACUGCCACGGCAACAGGUGAGUUUGAGAAGUUACACGUGGGGAUGAUGAGCUGCACUGAGGAAAUGACUCAAAUCCUUUGUAGACCCCACUGGAGCCAGUAGAUCUGAAGACAGAUGCCCUCCAUCCACAGAGCUGUGAGCAUGGAUGAACCGUCCAGUGGCUCCGUGCCCUCCAGAGCUCUCAUCACCAUCAGUUGAGCUCUUCCCCACAAAACAGCAGUGGAGGAAGCUCCAGAAGUGUCGCUUCUUUAUUUCAGUGCUGCCACACUCACUGACGUCCUCGCUGAGCCUCUUGCAGCAGCAGGCUGCUAAUCAGGAACUCUGCUGCUGCUGCUGCUCAUCAAAACCUCUUUGCUCGCCACUUUGGCAUCAUUCUGGGAAGCCAACAGAGCGCAGAGAUGCUCAAUUCCUCCCCCUCCACACACCUUCCAUUGUCUUCAGGACUGACAGCUCUGAUGUGGAGCAGUGAUAAAAGCCAGCUGAUGCUGUCAGGGCCUGGUACAAUUGCACUGCAGGGAAAAAGGCGACUGGCUCUGAGUCAUCGGAGCCGCCUGGAGCUCAGGAUGCCUGGCACACGUGCUGUCUCCUGGCACGGCUCAUCACACAGCAGUGCACCUCUGGAUGCUCCCCUCUGAGGAGGGGUUGACCAGAGGGUUUGAGAAAAGCCUGGGCUGGUGGCCAAAUGCAUGGCCAGCCAUGCUUU